CAGGGAAUUUUGCGCAAUGGGCUAACGCCUGACGCAGCGACGCCGCGUGGGGGAAGAAGGCCUUCGGGUUGUAAACUCCUUUUCUGGGGGAAGAGAGCGGACGGUACCCCAGGAAUAAGCCCCGGCUAACUACGUGCCAGCAGCCGCGGUAAUACGUAGGGGGCGAGCGUUGUCCGGAAUUAUUGGGCGUAAAGGGCGCGUAGGCGGCAUAGGAAGUCCUCGGUGAAAUCUCUCGGCUCAACUGAGAGCGGUCCGAGGAAACUCCUAAGCUAGAGGACGGCAGAGGAGGGUGGAAUUCCCGGUGUAGUGGUGAAAUGCGUAGAUAUCGGGAGGAACACCAGUGGCGAAGGCGGCCCUCUGGGCUGUACCUGACGCUGAGGCGCGAAAGCGUGGGGAGCGAACCGG
RNAcentral lists this ribosomal RNA (405 nucleotides) under uncultured bacterium. RNAcentral describes it as "bacterial SSU rRNA". It matches the Rfam family "Bacterial small subunit ribosomal RNA", at positions 355 to 776 of the family's 1533-position model. The record is from RNAcentral.